CCCAACUUAGCUCUCACUGCUCUCUAACUAGACCAUGGGAAGGCAAAGAAAUUCAGUCCGGCGCCUCUCCGGAGCAGGAUAGCGAGGGGAGCGGGCAGAUGCGGCCGCCAGGAGCUCAGCAUCCCCGGAGCUCUGCCUGCCCCCGCAGACCCCUGCACAACCCCUCUCCCCCUUCCCUGGGCUGCCAGGGCGGACGGGAGCUGGCAGGAAAAGCUGCCACAGUGCGCUAGAUGGGAUUCCUCUCGGGGAAGAGGAGGGACGGGAAAAGGAGAAACCCGCGCGCACUUUCCCUUCCAAUGAUCCCAAUCUCGCCGCGCACUGGAAAAGCCUCUUCUCCCCCCAGACCCCGCCAGGCAAGACCGGCGCAGCAGGAACAGCCUCCCGUCCCUCGGUGUGUAACCCCCGCCCCGGGUGAGUACGGCAAAGCCCUCCCCUCUCCGACCCCCCUGUGCUCCCUCUCCUCCUCCUCUCCAGGCCUUUUUCCCAUCCAUUCUCCUCUGUUCCCGCACACCCGGGCUCAGCGAGCCCUGGCGGGCACCGCUCCCCUCGCCUCAGCCCGGCUGCCCCACACCUUGCCCGGCAGCCCAGGGACUCCGGCACUGCUCCCCCAGCCACCAGGCACUGCCAGCACCCCUGCACAGCUCCCCAGGACCGUGGGGAAGCUCCAGCAGCUCUGGAGAACUUUAAAUGUUUGA
Molecule: long non-coding RNA, 695 nt
Filed under: Zonotrichia albicollis (white-throated sparrow)
Lineage: Eukaryota; Metazoa; Chordata; Aves; Passeriformes; Passerellidae
Description: lncRNA (ENSZALG00000006474.1)
Source: RNAcentral